Molecule: ribosomal RNA, 119 nt
Organism: Papio anubis (olive baboon)
Lineage: Eukaryota; Metazoa; Chordata; Mammalia; Primates; Cercopithecidae
Source: Ensembl
GUCUACGGCUAUACCACCCUGAACAUGCCAGAUCUCAUCUGAUCUCAGAAGCUAAGCAGGGUAGGGCCUGGUUAGUACUUGGAUGGAAGACUGCCUGGGAAUACCAGGUGCUGUAGGCU